GAAAUAUAGGAUGCAUCAUAAAAUAAACACAUAAAUGAACCCUUAAAUAUCAAUUUCAUUCCUUGAUUCUGUUUAAUGAAGAUUACCCACAUAGUAGCAGCUAUUAAACACAAUGGAUAUAAUUAUACAGAGAAUAAACUUAUCAUAUGCAAUUCAUGGUUUUCCAUAGUUCAGCAUCCAAAUCACAUUCUACAAAAUCUUCUUUUGCUUUCACUAAGUCUCUUCUUGUAAUUUCUAGAUUAACCUCUGCUUCAAUCCUCUUUGUUCUCAAAGUUUUCUCUUCCAUCUCUAAAAUAGCCACGUUCUUUUCCAAAGUAGUCACAUUCUCCUCCAACCUUUUUGCAGCAAGAACUUUCUCAACACAAGUUUUCAUGCCCAAAGCAGAUUGUACAUGAGGUUUCAACCAUGACAAUUCAAAUCCACAUGUCUCAAGUUCCUCCCAUAAAGUUUGGAGAUGAUUACAAGCAUCAUCGUCCAUGUCUCUAACUUUUUUAGUG
This 497-nucleotide long non-coding RNA is filed under the name Vigna radiata. RNAcentral's name for it is "long non-coding RNA (VRAD_LNC007719)". The record is from RNAcentral. Lineage: Eukaryota; Viridiplantae; Streptophyta; Magnoliopsida; Fabales; Fabaceae.